AUUGAACGCUGGCGGAAUGCUUUACACAUGCAAGUCGAACGGCAGCACGGACUUCGGUCUGGUGGCGAGUGGCGAACGGGUGAGUAAUGUAUCGGAACGUGCCCAGUCGUGGGGGAUAACGUAGUGAAAAUUACGCUAAUACCGCAUACGAUCUAUGGAUGAAAGCGGGGGAUCGCAAGACCUCGCGCGAUUGGAGCGGCCGAUAUCAGAUUAGGGAGUUGGUGGGGUAAAGGCCCACCAAGCCCACGAUCUGUAGCUGGUCCGAGAGGACGACCAGCCACACUGGAACUGAGACACGGUCCAGACUCCUACGGGAGGCAGCAGUGGGGAAUUUUGGACAAUGGGCGAAAGCCUGAUCCAGCCAUUCCGCGUGCAGGAUGAAGACCCUCGGGUUGUAAACUGCUUUUGUACAGAACGAAAAGGUUUCUACUAAUACUAGGAGCUCAUGGCGGUACUGUAAGAAUAAGCACCGGCUAACUACGUGCCAGCCGCCGCCGUAA
Molecule: ribosomal RNA, 500 nt
Filed under: uncultured bacterium
Lineage: Bacteria
Description: partial 16S ribosomal RNA
Rfam family: Bacterial small subunit ribosomal RNA
Source: RNAcentral